RNAcentral lists this long non-coding RNA (439 nucleotides) under Nicotiana benthamiana. RNAcentral describes it as "long non-coding RNA (NBEN_LNC005623)". The record is from RNAcentral. Lineage: Eukaryota; Viridiplantae; Streptophyta; Magnoliopsida; Solanales; Solanaceae.
AGGUCCUCUGGAUUGGUCAAAAGUAACUCUUUGGGUAUACUGUCUGAGAGGAGAAGAGUUGGGCACCGCAACUUGACUCAUUCCAAAAGAAGGUGUAGAAUUUUUGUUUAUGUUGACACUGAAGGACAUAGAUUCAGGAAGAGGAGAAGGGAUGGGGACUGCAACUUGACUCAUUCCAAAAGAAGGUGUAGAAUUUUUGUUUGUGUUGACACUAAAGGACAUAGAAUCAGGAUUGAACUGGGAAAUAGACUGAACUUGUCUUUGUUUUUCAUCAUUGAGGAGAAUGUUAUGACACUGUCGAGGGUAGGGGAGGCUGCAUCAUCAGCAAGUUGCUCCUUACCCCCAUAUAUGUCUCAUUAAGGCCCAUGAGGAAUUGAAACACUUUAUUCUCCUCAUCCUCCUGUAUGAUGCCAGUUUUGGCAGCACAAAUGCACCUUUG